Molecule: non-coding RNA, 203 nt
Organism: Pelobates cultripes (western spadefoot toad)
Lineage: Eukaryota; Metazoa; Chordata; Amphibia; Anura; Pelobatidae
Source: the annotation of a GenBank genome assembly
GGCUUCAUCUUGGGCACUAUGACCAGUCUGUGACUACUACGAUACGCUUUGUGUUCUGCCACCUUUCUAUCAUGGCCAGCAUUAAGCUUUUCAGCAAUUUGAGGAACAGUAGCAUCAAGGAGUCUUGGGCGGUCAUGACCCUGAGGCUUGUUGUCCUUCCUUGUACCACUUUUGGUGGGUACUAACCACUGCAUACUUGCAAC